RNAcentral lists this long non-coding RNA (3401 nucleotides) under Sorghum bicolor (sorghum). Its description in RNAcentral is "long non-coding RNA (SBIC_LNC015836)". The record is from RNAcentral. Lineage: Eukaryota; Viridiplantae; Streptophyta; Magnoliopsida; Poales; Poaceae.
CAUGUGGGAGGUAAGUGGUAGAUCACAUAUAGCCGUGGUGCUUAGAUGUUAUUUACCUGCAAAUAUAUCCUAUUGGCCGGGUUGUGUGGUAGUUCGCGAUAGUGACAUCUUCGUUGAUUCUUAUAUAGUCCACCCUCCGUUGAUAGAACUGGCAGAAUUUGUAUUGCGGAGUAAGUCUUGCGAUGCUCUGAUUUACUUUAGCAAUGUUCCUUAUACAUGAAUGAAGAGUCUUUUAUGCUAUACAUGAUCUUGUAGAUAACUAGAGUAGAUUGUGACUUAGUAGAUAGUAGAUAACUUAGAAUUCAUUCUCUAGCUAAUCUGACGUCACCUUACAUAUAUGAGGAUUAGUCUAUUUUCUAAUUGCUAUGUUAUUUACCCAUGAACUUAUAAUUCAUUAUCCUUAUCUUUAUGGUUUACCCCCUGCCAGAGUAAGUGACUGUGUGACGAGUUCCUCAUUAGUAAUCAUGUCUUGCAAGUUGAUCUCUAGUCUAUGCCUUGAUAGAUUUUAUCUUUAUCUUCAUUUAAUCCUUUUUUCUCCUGAGCAAAAUUAUAAAUAGCGAUACCUAGAAUACUUACCUAGUGAAAUGCUACAAUGAGGUGUUUUAUCUGUGCGCUUGUGGAUAGAAUAGAUUAUUUUCUAGAGAGCCUCCAUAUUUAUAAAUCCCUUUGUACACUCUGGCACCAUGCUGGGGCUGACAACCUAGUAUCUAAGUGGUGUUAGUAAGUGUCAACACCCACUAAAGAGAAUAACAUUUAUUAGAGGAAGCUCAACAUGAUAACGGCUAAGAGAUUUUAUGCUAACACUUAACAAGUUCCACAAAGCUUUGUUGUCUAUUUGAGCUCCACAGAAUUCAAGGAUCAAAGAAGACUAACAGACGGAGGACAUCCUAAUUGCUAUCAGGGUGCUGCCGACAUUCAAAUACACCUCCAUCACCUGCUAGCUACAUCAUAAGAAAUUACAUCAAAAUUCGGCUUGGGGGAGAGCAUCCCCAUUUAUCUAGCUAAGUGUUUCUACUCGCAUUUAUACUUUACUCAAAUAAUAAAAAGAUGCAUAAUCAUAAAAACCUAAAUAAAGAUUUUAUGCUUAUAUAGAUAUAUUUGCUUCGUUUGCUAAAUAAAUAAAGUUUGCUAUGAACCCUCAUGAUAAGCUCUCACAUGGAAAUAAUGAAUAGUUGCUCUGCCAUGACUAGUUCUCAAAAUUGAAUUUUCUCUCAAGUUUAGGCAUGACUGUUAUGAAUUAAGAUUUGCUCUAAACCUGAACAUGUGGGAAGAGUACUUGAUCUAAAGUCUAAGUCGUUAACGGAUAUGAUAUGGGAAGGUUGAGCUGCUGUUUACCUGUUCCUAGAGAUGCUAGAAUUCUGGAGAAUUUUAUCUUUGAACAUUUUUAAAAUGUUGCAUGAUGAGUUCCUAUAUGAUGAGAGUUUAAAAUCAUACCCCAGCCACAUAUACAUGCUUAUUAGACUAUGAACCAUACAUUUACUUUUUACUACUUAUGAGCAUUGAGUGUGGUCAAGCUAUGUAGACCCUUAGGAGCUUGUCAUGCGGUUAAAAUCAAGAUUCACUUGCACGUUCACUCAUACAUGCUGCUUCUACUCCAGAAGUACGCAUCCACAUACAUCCACUAUUUCCAUCUCUAGAUUCACCCAAAAUUAUUCUACUCCUAUCUAGGAGAGAAUAGCCAAAAAAUUAUCCCAUUCCUGUUUUCCCUGUGAAAUAAAUGCUCGAGAUAUUUUGGUUACUACCACUUGCUACAUUAUUCCAGGAGGGUGAGUGCUCUAAAAAAAGAGAAAAAAAGAAAAAAUAAAGUGAAUACGAGGAAAUAAAAAGGGACAAGUGCCCGGAACCUCGAAAGAAAAGAAAAAGUGAGACGAGAGGUAAAAAUGGACAAGUGUCCGACAGUAGAAUCAGGGGUACAAGAUACCCAGCUGAGAGAAAAGAAAAAGGAAAUAUAGAGCAUCUCAUUCUCCUCAAAAAGCUUCAUAGUGCAAGAAAGGUCUGUAUCCCCUCAAAAGAGCAAAAGUAGAAUUAGACUUUCACCAUUGUUUUCACCAUCAUCACCAUACACCAUUUAUUCGCCACACAUGCACAUCUUGAUAUUGACUUAUUGACUUGUUUCUCUGGACCCAUGGUUUGACUAUGUAAUAAAUGUCUUGUAAGUAUGUAUACUUUAUCUCCCACCUAUGAGCUCCAGAUAUCAAACCUUGUUAGAGUAGGGUGAGAGAGAAGGCAAUGUCACUAUGCCUCAUACCAGAAAUACCACAUACUUUGAGAGAAGGCAUAUACCAUCACUGCCUUGGUAAGGAUCCAGAAAUACCAUAAAAUAGAGAUCUGAGAGAGUCAUACAAAGUAAUCUCUGAGUUUUAUUUUGAAAAUCUACAAAAAACUCUAGAGCUAUAGCUAAUCAAGAAUAAGAGACAUGGCGCUUGACUAGACUAUUCUAUCUUUUAACUACUCAAGACACAAGUGACGGUUGCAAGCCCCAUGGUGGAAGGUAAUAUGAGUAAGUUUAAAUCUUAACAGUUUAUCCUAACCUAGAGAUGAGAUCUUGUUUGAAUGCAUGUGUACCUUUAAGGCAUGAAACCACUACAGAAACUCUUGAGUCCAUCCUUACUGAGGAACGAGCAAGAGGUAAGCUUGGGGGAGUUUCUUGACAGUGCUUAAGUAUCAAAUUUAACCAUUGAAUAAAUAAAGAAAAGGAUCCAAAUGCAACUAACACCAAGACUUAGUGUUUUAUCUAACAGAAUUCCAUGAGUUUUGGUGUUUCUCUAUUUCUGCAGGGGGUUAUCAGGAAAUAUGGAGGAAAGGCCCACACGUCGGGUUUACAUAGAGAUAUUAACGUGCUGCGCAAUUUUCUAUCAUCUAGAAGACUCUAGAAACAAUGGGAACGAACGGGAAGCCGAGCGGGCUCGGGGGCAGGGCGCCCGCCCUGCCCCCUUGGGCGUCCGCCCAGCUACAAGGACCAAUCAGGCUCCGUCUCACGGAUUAUGCUCCACCGCCAUUGAGGAUCAAGGAAAACCAUGCGAUUAAGGUCGGUUUGAUCCGACGGCCCACAUUCAUUUGGAGGGGCUAUAUAAGCAGACCCCUUGGCCCCUGGAGGAGGCACCCCUUGAUCCCUAUUCAUUAUUCAUGGACAGAGCAAAAUCUAGGGUUUGGAGAUGAGAGCUCUCCUCUCUUCUCUAAACUAGAGUAGAUCUAGAUAGUAGCGAGAUGGAGAGCAAGGGAGGAUUGGAGGAGAGGCUGGCCUGUCGGUUCUUCCUCCGGUUGUACUUCGCCAUGAUCAAGCUCUAAUCAAGCUUGCUCAUGGGAUGACUCUGGUAAUCUACUUAUAUUUCAUUAUGCAAUUAUUAUUCAUGUAUGUUCUGGUUCACAACUCUUUUGAGUACUUUUAAUUUAUAGGACCC